This 292-nucleotide ribosomal RNA is filed under the name uncultured bacterium. RNAcentral's name for it is "partial 16S ribosomal RNA". It matches the Rfam family "Bacterial small subunit ribosomal RNA", at positions 505 to 796 of the family's 1533-position model. The record is from RNAcentral.
GUGCCAGCAGCCGCGGUAAUACGUAGGGUGCGAGCGUUAAUCGGAAUUACUGGGCGUAAAGCGUGCGCAGGCGGUUUUGUAAGCCAGAUGUGAAAUCCCCGGGCUCAACCUGGGAAUGGCAUUUGGGACUGCAAAGCUGGAGUGCGGCAGGGGGGACUGGAAUUCCUGGUGUAGCAGUGAAAUGCGUAGAGAUCAGGAGGAAUACCGAUGGCGAAGGCAGGUCCCUGGGUUUACACUGACGCUCAUGCACGAAAGCGUGGGGAGCAAACAGGAUUAGAUACCCUCGUAGUCC